CCUACGGGUGGCUGCAGUGAGGAAUAUUGGUCAAUGGACGAGAGUCUGAACCAGCCACGUAGCGUGAAGGAUGACUGCCCUCUGGGUUGUAAACUUCUUUUAUAUGGGAAUAAAAUGUUCCACGUGUGGGAUUUUGUAUGUACCAUAUGAAUAAGGAUCGGCUAACUCCGUGCCAGCAGCCGCGGUAAUACGGAGGUUCCGAGCGUUAUCCGGAUUUAUUGGGUUUAAAGGGUGCGUAGGUGGAUUGUUAAGUCAGUUGUGAAAGUUUGCGGCUCAACCGUAAAAUUGCAGUUGAAACUGGCAGUCUUGAGUACAGUAGAGGUAGGCGGAAUUCGUGGUGUAGCGGUGAAAUGCUUAGAUAUCACGAAGAACUCCGAUUGCGAAGGCAGUUCACUGGACUGCAACUGACACUGAGGCUCGAAAGUGUGGGUAUCAAACAGGAUUAGAUACCCUUGUAGUC
Molecule: ribosomal RNA, 460 nt
Filed under: uncultured bacterium
Lineage: Bacteria
Description: partial 16S ribosomal RNA
Rfam family: Bacterial small subunit ribosomal RNA
Source: RNAcentral